This 252-nucleotide ribosomal RNA is filed under the name uncultured bacterium. RNAcentral describes it as "partial 16S ribosomal RNA". It matches the Rfam family "Bacterial small subunit ribosomal RNA", at positions 524 to 776 of the family's 1533-position model. The record is from RNAcentral.
UACGGGGGGGCAAGCGUUGUUCGGAAUUACUGGGCGUAAAGGGCUCGUAGGCGGCCAACUAAGUCGGAUGUGAAAUCCCCAGGCUUAACCUGGGAACUGCAUCCGAUACUGGAUGGCUUGAAUCCGGGAGAGGGAUGCGGAAUUCCAGGUGUAGCGGUGAAAUGCGUAGAUAUCUGGAGGAACACCGGUGGCGAAGGCGGCAUCCUGGACCAAUAUUGACGCUGAGGAGCGAAAGCUAGGGGAGCAAACGGG